GGAGAUCUGUAGAUCACUGGCAGAGCAUCUGCUUUGCAAUCAGAAGGUCACAAUUUCAACCCUUGUAAUCUCCA
Molecule: non-coding RNA, 74 nt
Organism: Podarcis lilfordi (Lilford's wall lizard)
Lineage: Eukaryota; Metazoa; Chordata; Lepidosauria; Squamata; Lacertidae
Source: the annotation of a GenBank genome assembly